Non-coding RNA from Pelobates cultripes (western spadefoot toad), 242 nucleotides. NCBI's taxonomy places the organism in Eukaryota, Metazoa, Chordata, Amphibia, Anura, Pelobatidae. The record is from the annotation of a GenBank genome assembly.
AUACUGUGUGCCAGGCUGGUAUUGUUAUAUCUAUUGUGUGCCAGGCUGGUAUUUUUUAUAAAUACCGUGUGCCAGGCUGGUAUUGUUAUAAAUACUGGGGGCAGGCUGGUAUUGUUUUAUCUAUUGUGUGCCAGGAUGGUAUUGUUAUAUUUAUUGUGUGCCAGGCUGAUGUUGUUAUAAAUACUGUGUGCCAGGCUGGUAUUGUUAUAAAUAUUGUGUGUCAGGCUGGUAUUGUUAUAAAU